CUACAGAGGGUGCGAGCGUUAAUCGGAAUUACUGGGCGUAAAGCGCGCGUAGGCGGUCUAUUAAGUCAGAUGUGAAAUCCCAGGGCUCAACCUUGGAACUGCAUCUGAUACUGGUAGACUAGAGUUUUGGAGAGGGAAGUAGAAUUUCAGGUGUAGCGGUGAAAUGCAUAGAGAUCUGAAGGAAUACCAGUGGCGAAGGCGACUUCCUGGCCAAAAACUGACGCUGAGGUGCGAAAGCGUGGGUAGCAAACGGGAUUAGAAACCCUUGUAGUCC
RNAcentral lists this ribosomal RNA (274 nucleotides) under uncultured bacterium. RNAcentral describes it as "partial 16S ribosomal RNA". It matches the Rfam family "Bacterial small subunit ribosomal RNA", at positions 523 to 796 of the family's 1533-position model. The record is from RNAcentral.